Molecule: ribosomal RNA, 497 nt
Filed under: uncultured bacterium
Lineage: Bacteria
Description: partial 16S ribosomal RNA
Rfam family: Bacterial small subunit ribosomal RNA
Source: RNAcentral
GAUGAACGCUGGCGGCGUGCCUAAUACAUGCAAGUCGAGCGACCGCACAAUAAGCUUUCUCCUCUGCUGUUAGCGGCUGACGGGCGGGUAACACGUGCAUCACCUUCCUCUUUGUCUUGGAUAACUUCGUAAAACCGCAGCUGCUACCGCCUCAUAUUUUCUACCGCAUAGAUCAAGAGUUCUUCACGCUUUUGCUGUCUCUUUUAGCUGGAUCCGCGCUGCAUUAGCUAGUUGGUAAGGUAACGGCUUACCAAGGCGACGAUGCAUAGCUGACCUGAGAGGAUGAUCAGCCACACUGGAACUGAGACACGGUCCAGACUCCUACGGGAGGCAGCAGUAGGGAAUAUUGGGCAAUGGGCGAAAGCCUGACGGAGCAACACCGCGUGAGUGAAGAAGGUCUUCGGAUCGUAAAGCUCUUUUAUUGGGAAAGAAAAGAAGUGGAUGAAAAUGUGCAUAUUUUGACGGUACCUAAAGAAAAAGCAACGGCUAACUUCGUG